GCCUACGGGAGGCAGCAGUGGGGAAUAUUGCACAAUGGGGGGAACCCUGAUGCAGCAAUGCCGCGUGGGUGAAGAAGCACUCCGGUGCGUAAAGCCCUGUCAGCAGGGAAGAAAAUGACAGUACCUGGACAAGAAGCCCCGGCUAACUACGUGCCAGCAGCCGCGGUAAUACGUAGGGGGCAAGCGUUAUCCGGAUUCAUUGGGCGUAAAGCGCGCGCAGGCGGACCGUUAAGCGGGACCUCUAAUCCUGGGGCUCAACCUCAGGCCGGGUCCCGAACUGGCGGUCUCGAGUGCGGUAGGGGGGG
This 305-nucleotide ribosomal RNA is filed under the name uncultured bacterium. RNAcentral's name for it is "bacterial SSU rRNA". It matches the Rfam family "Bacterial small subunit ribosomal RNA", at positions 337 to 660 of the family's 1533-position model. The record is from RNAcentral.